ACAACUAAAUCUUUCCUCUUUCAAUUCUAAAUCUAUAAUUUUCUUCUCCAAUCAAAUUCGUUCGACAAUUGCAACGAAUUUGACCAGAUUUCGCGUCAUCUAACAGGUUCUCACAUCUUCUUUGUCAAUGACUCCAUUGAAGAGAAAGAGAGAGCUUUGAAGAGGGAGAUGAAGGAUGGUUUCGGUUUCUGAUUUUGAAAUCAAAAUUGGAGGAGAGAGAAAUAAAGAAGGAGUUGAAGGGUAUGACCGAUUAUACCCGGUUAGUGCAUAUUAGGGUCCAUUCACAACAAACAUAAUGCAAAGGUUGGAUUAAUUUUUAAUUUUCGAAA
Molecule: long non-coding RNA, 329 nt
Organism: Amaranthus tricolor (Joseph's coat)
Lineage: Eukaryota; Viridiplantae; Streptophyta; Magnoliopsida; Caryophyllales; Amaranthaceae
Exons: 3
Source: RefSeq, a predicted model, not a curated record